GCGGCUUUAAAGGGGGCUAGCAAUACUGGCAGUGUUGAGGUCAGCGGUUCGAUCCCGCUAGGCUCCACCA
This 70-nucleotide transfer RNA is filed under the name Alphaproteobacteria bacterium. RNAcentral's name for it is "tRNA-Ala". The record is from RNAcentral. Lineage: Bacteria; Pseudomonadati; Pseudomonadota; Alphaproteobacteria.